This 443-nucleotide ribosomal RNA is filed under the name uncultured bacterium. RNAcentral's name for it is "SSU rRNA". It matches the Rfam family "Bacterial small subunit ribosomal RNA", at positions 26 to 518 of the family's 1533-position model. The record is from RNAcentral.
AGAACGAACGCUGGCGGCAGGCCUAACACAUGCAAGUCGAACGCGAUCUUCGGAUCGAGUGGCGCACGGGUGAGUAACGCGUGGGAAUCUGCCCUGUGGUACGGAAUAACAUCGGGAAACUGGUGCUAAUACCGUAUAUCCCCUGAGGGGGAAAGAUUUAUCGCCAUGGGAGGAGCCCGCGUAGGAUUAGCUAGUUGGUGAGGUAACGGCUCACCAAGGCGACGAUCCUUAGCUGGUCUGAGAGGAUGAUCAGCCACACUGGGACUGAGAUACGGCCCAGACUCCUACGGGAGGCAGCAGUGGGGAAUAUUGGACAAUGGGGGAAACCCUGAUCCAGCCAUGCCGCGUGUGUGAUGAAGGCCUUCGGGUUGUAAAGCACUUUCGCACGUGACGAUGAUGACGGUAACGUGAGAAGAGCCCGGCUAACUCGUGCCAGCAGCCGC